RNAcentral lists this unclassified non-coding RNA (306 nucleotides) under plant metagenome. Its description in RNAcentral is "partial contains 5.8S ribosomal RNA, internal transcribed spacer 2, and large subunit ribosomal RNA". The stretch from base 1 to 105 matches the Rfam family "5.8S ribosomal RNA", at positions 50 to 154 of the family's 154-position model. The record is from RNAcentral.
GAAAUGCGAUAAGUAAUGUGAAUUGCAGAAUUCAGUGAAUCAUCGAAUCUUUGAACGCACAUUGCGCCCGCCAGUAUUCUGGCGGGCAUGCCUGUCCGAGCGUCAUUUCAACCAUCAAGCCCCCGGGCUUGUGUUGGGGACCUGCGGCUGCCCGCAGGCCCUGAAAACCAGUGGCGGGCUCGCUGUCACACCGAGCGUAGUAGCAAUCACCUCGCUCAGGGCGUGCUGCGAGUUCCGGCCGUUAAACAGCCUUACAAAACCCAAGGUUGACCUCGGAUCAGGUAGGGAGACCCGCUGAACUUAAGC